AGAGUUUGAUCCUGGCUCAGGACGAACGCUGGCGGCAAGCUUAACACAUGCAAGUCGAACGCCGUAGCAAUACGGAGUGGCAGACGGGUGAGUAACGCGUGGGAACGUGCCUUUUGGUUCGGAACAACUGAGGGAAACUUCAGCUAAUACCGGAUAAGCCCCGAGGGGGAAAGAUUUAUCGCCAAAAGAUCGGCCCGCGUCAGAUUAGGUAGUUGGUGGGGUAACGGCCUACCAAGCCGACGAUCUGUAGCUGGUCUGAGAGGACGAUCAGCCACAUUGGGACUGAGACACGGCCCAAACUCCUACGGGAGGCAGCAGUGGGGAAUAUUGGACAAUGGGCGAAAGCCUGAUCCAGCUAUGCCGCGUGGAUGAAGAAGGCCUUAGGGUUGUAAAGUCCUUUCGCCGCUGAAGAUAAUGACGGUAAGCGGAGAAGAAGCCCCGGCUAAUUUCGUGCCAGCAGCCGCGGUAAUACGAAAGGGGCUAGCGUUGUUCGGAUUUACUGGGCGUAAAGCGCACGUAGGCGGCUUGGCAAGUUGGGGGUGAAAUCCCCGGGC
RNAcentral lists this ribosomal RNA (554 nucleotides) under uncultured bacterium. RNAcentral's name for it is "bacterial SSU rRNA". It matches the Rfam family "Bacterial small subunit ribosomal RNA", at positions 8 to 608 of the family's 1533-position model. The record is from RNAcentral.